This 253-nucleotide ribosomal RNA is filed under the name uncultured bacterium. Its description in RNAcentral is "partial 16S ribosomal RNA". It matches the Rfam family "Bacterial small subunit ribosomal RNA", at positions 524 to 776 of the family's 1533-position model. The record is from RNAcentral.
UACGUAGGGUGCGAGCGUUAAUCGGAAUUACUGGGCGUAAAGGGCUCGUAGGCGGCCAACUAAGUCAUACGUGAAAUCCCUCGGCUUAACCGGGGAACUGCGUCUGAUACUGGAUGGCUUGAGAUUGGGAGAGGGAUGCGGAAUUCCAGGUGUAGCGGUGAAAUGCGUAGAUAUCUGGAGGAACACCGGUGGCGAAGGCGGCAUCCUGGACCAACACUGACGCUGAGGAGCGAAAGCCAGGGGAGCAAACGGG